UUUAGGGUUUAGGAUUUAGGAUUUAUCUAGCAUUUGAUUUAGGAUUUAGGGUUUGUUUAGGAUUUAAGACUUAUCCAAGAUUUGGUUUAGGAUUUAAGGUUUGUCUAGGAUUUGGUUAGGAUUAAGGAUUUAUCUAAGAUUUGAUUUAGGAUUUAGAGUUUGUCUAGGAUUUGAUUUAGAAUUUAAGUUUUUUUUAGGAUUUGAUUCAAA
Molecule: long non-coding RNA, 210 nt
Filed under: Physcomitrium patens
Lineage: Eukaryota; Viridiplantae; Streptophyta; Bryopsida; Funariales; Funariaceae
Description: long non-coding RNA (PPAT_LNC001356)
Source: RNAcentral